AUCACCACGGUGACUUGCAAGCAACUCACUAUACUUUGGUGCUGGACUAUCUGAAUUUUUAAUUCAGGAUUGAAAGAUUUUUGGGCAUAGUCAAUUACUUAUGAAGUCGGUGCGUGAGUCAAGAUGGAAUUGACUACUCCAAGAGAUUGGAGAGAAUGCUUCAUGUUUCAAUUAGUAAGACCUUAGCCAGAGCAAUCUUUGUAAGGAGUCACAGGAUCUAUCAGAUUGAGAC
This 232-nucleotide long non-coding RNA is filed under the name Elaeis guineensis (African oil palm). RNAcentral describes it as "long non-coding RNA (EGUI_LNC065486)". Lineage: Eukaryota; Viridiplantae; Streptophyta; Magnoliopsida; Arecales; Arecaceae. The record is from RNAcentral.